CAAAGCAACCUCAUGUGGGAUCGUGCAGCAUGUCCAUGACCAAAAUGCUGCUGUGGUGCUGCAGCUCAGCACAGCUGCCUUGUGCCUGGAUGCUUACACUAAUGGGAGAGAUUCUACUAAUGUGAGUGCCAGUGACAGGCAUCCCCCCAAAGCCAAGAAGAAGGGUUGGAAUGGCAGACUGAAGGAAGAGGAGUGCAUCCCCCUGAGCCCCACAGGGAGCAGCAUCCUACAUGAGCUUACAGAAAUGCUGACUGGCUGUAGGUGCUGAGAAUCCUGUGAAGCCCAGAGGAGCUGUGUAAGCGUGUUCCCCAGCCCAGGACUGCAGUGCAGGACCCAUCACCAGACGGAUGCUUCCAGGUGCUUUUUCACCCUGUCUUCCUCCAUAGCUACUGUGGCAGCUGAGUCCGCCCAGCAAUACCAGGUACUUCAUGCACAGGAAAACAGAACAAACCAAUUUCAGUAAACUAUGUGAGACUCCUGGAGGAUCUUUUUGUUAGGAGUUGAGCAGGCUGUAAAUAACAGAGGCAUUAACAGUAAUUCACACCCCUGGGACAAGCCAUAGAGGAUUACAGCCGCGUGGAACCAUUUGCCUUGAGAAAAAUGACAAAAUUUCCAAGGACUAGAUGGCUUCUUGAGAGAAGAUUUGAAGCUCAGGCUGCACUUGUCUUGAGCCUAUCCGCUAUCAAUUCCAGUUCGUACAAAGACAUUUACUCCUAUUAUUAUUAUACCCCUGCCCUUUCUCGCCCUUGAAGUAUUGGCAUUGUGGCUCUGAAGACAGAUUCAAUUAACAAACCGGAUAGAUGCUGACCUUUCCGGGGUUGUUAUUCUAUCCUUGAUUUGCUUUAGGGGAGAAAUAUUUCUUUCUUGUAUAAAUAUGAAAUAACAAAUAAAUAACCAACAAUUGAUUUGUAGUUUCAG
Molecule: non-coding RNA, 918 nt
Organism: Coturnix japonica (Japanese quail)
Lineage: Eukaryota; Metazoa; Chordata; Aves; Galliformes; Phasianidae
Source: RefSeq, a predicted model, not a curated record